This 328-nucleotide ribosomal RNA is filed under the name Vibrio parahaemolyticus. RNAcentral's name for it is "bacterial SSU rRNA". It matches the Rfam family "Bacterial small subunit ribosomal RNA", at positions 1 to 315 of the family's 1533-position model. The record is from RNAcentral. Lineage: Bacteria; Pseudomonadati; Pseudomonadota; Gammaproteobacteria; Vibrionales; Vibrionaceae.
AAAUUGAAGAGUUUGAUCAUGGCUCAGAUUGAACGCUGGCGGCAGGCCUAACACAUGCAAGUCGAGCGGAAACGAGUUGUCUGAACCUUCGGGGGACGAUAACGGCGUCGAGCGGCGGACGGGUGAGUAAUGCCUAGGAAAUUGCCCUGAUGUGGGGGAUAACCAUUGGAAACGAUGGCUAAUACCGCAUGAUGCCUACGGGCCAAAGAGGGGGACCUUCGGGCCUCUCGCGUCAGGAUAUGCCUAGGUGGGAUUAGCUAGUUGGUGAGGUAAGGGCUCACCAAGGCGACGAUCUCUAGCUGGUCUGAGAGGAUGAUCAGCCACACUG